RNAcentral lists this ribosomal RNA (489 nucleotides) under uncultured bacterium. RNAcentral's name for it is "partial 16S ribosomal RNA". It matches the Rfam family "Bacterial small subunit ribosomal RNA", at positions 28 to 507 of the family's 1533-position model. The record is from RNAcentral.
GAUGAACGCUAGCGGGAGGCCUAACACAUGCAAGCCGAGCGGGAUUUGUUGGUUAGCUUGCUAACUAACAAUGAGAGCGGCGUACGGGUGCGUAGCACGUGUGCAACCUGCCUUUAUCUGGGGGAUAGCCUUUCGAAAGGAAGAUUAAUACCCCAUAACAUAUUGAUUGGCAUCAGUUAAUAUUGAAAGCUCCGGCGGAUAGAGAUGGGCACGCGUAAGAUUAGCUAGUUGGUGAGGUAACGGCUCACCAAGGCUGCGAUCUUUAGGGGGCCUGAGAGGGUGAUCCCCCACAGUGGUACAGAGACACGGACAAGACACCUACGGGAGGCAGAAGUGAGGAAUAUUGGAAAAUGGGUGAGGGCCUGAUCCAGCCAUCCCGAGUGAAGGACUAAGGACCUAUGGUUUGUAAACUUAUUUUAUACAGGGAUAAACAUACUCUCGUGAGGGUAGCGGAAGGGACUGUAUGAAUAAGAACCGGCUAACUCCGUG